UCCGGUUUAUCACCGGCAGUCUCCAUAGAGUUCUCGGCACUACCCGUUAGUAACUAUGGACAAGGGUUGCGCUCGUUGCGCCACUUAAGGCAACAUCUCACGACACGAGCUGACGACAGCCAUGCAGCACCUGUCUCCGGUCCAGCCGAACUGAAGGACUCCAUCUCUGGUGUCCGCGACCGGGAUGUCAAAGGCUGGUAAGGUUCUGCGCGUUGCUUCGAAUUGAACCACAUGCUCCACCGCUUGUGAGGGCCCCCGUCAAUUCCUUUGAGUUUUAAUCUUGCGACCGUACUCCCCAGGCGGGAUGCUUAAUGCGUUAGCUGCGCCACUGAAAGGCAAGCCUUCCAACGGCUAGCAUCCAUCGUUUACGGCGUGGACUAC
Molecule: unclassified non-coding RNA, 381 nt
Filed under: uncultured Alphaproteobacteria bacterium
Lineage: Bacteria; Pseudomonadati; Pseudomonadota; Alphaproteobacteria
Description: contains 16S-23S intergenic spacer region
Source: RNAcentral